AUGCAGGGGUUGGCCCUAGCAUUACAACAUUCUAACCUGCCGGUGGUGGUUCAAACGGACUCCUCUGAAACACUGUCUAGCUUGACAAAUGAUGCACUUCUUCGUUCGGCAUAUGGACAAAUCGUCCUGGAGAUCAAGGCCCUUUUAGGUAUUAGGGAGUUUUUUCCUUCAAAGAUUAGUAGACUUCAAAAUAGAGUUGCCGAUCGGUUGGCUAAGUAUAGCCGCACCGAGCGUGCCACGGCUAUUUGGCUUGGCUCGGCUCCACCAUGUAUCGAGGAUUUGUGGCCUCUCGACUGUAACUCUAUAUCUAUGCAAUAA
Molecule: ribosomal RNA, 318 nt
Filed under: Triticum aestivum (bread wheat)
Lineage: Eukaryota; Viridiplantae; Streptophyta; Magnoliopsida; Poales; Poaceae
Description: partial small subunit ribosomal RNA
Source: RNAcentral